GAUGAACGCUAGCGGCAGGCUUAACACAUGCAAGUCGAGGGGCAGCACGGGUAGCAAUACCUGGUGGCGACCGGCGCAAGGGUGCGUAACGCGUGAGCAACAUGCCCUAUACAGGGGGAUAAUCCAGGGAAACUUGGUCUAAUAUCCCAUAGUAUUUAGAGGAGGCAUCUUCUAUAAAUUAAAGCUUCGGUGGUAUAGGAUUGGCUCGCGUGACAUUAGCUAGAUGGUGAGGUAACGGCUCACCAUGGCAAUGAUGUCUAGGGGUUCUGAGAGGAAGGCCCCCCACACUGGGACUGAGACACGGCCCAGACUCCUACGGGAGGCAGCAGUGAGGAAUAUUGGACAAUGGAUGGAAAUCUGAUCCAGCCAUGCCGCGUGCAGGAAGACAGCCCUAUGGGUUGUAAACUUCUUUUCUGUCAGAAGAAUAAGCUUGUCGAGACGAGUGAUGCCGGUAUGACAGGAAUAAGC
This 468-nucleotide ribosomal RNA is filed under the name uncultured bacterium. RNAcentral describes it as "bacterial SSU rRNA". It matches the Rfam family "Bacterial small subunit ribosomal RNA", at positions 28 to 491 of the family's 1533-position model. The record is from RNAcentral.